Molecule: ribosomal RNA, 252 nt
Filed under: uncultured bacterium
Lineage: Bacteria
Description: partial 16S ribosomal RNA
Rfam family: Bacterial small subunit ribosomal RNA
Source: RNAcentral
CGUAGGGGCAAGCGUUAUCCGGAUUUACUGGGUGUAAAGGAGCGUAGGCGGCCAUGCAAGUCAGAAGUGAAAGCCCGGGGCUCAACCCCGGGACUGCUUUUGAAACUGUAAGGCUAGAUUGCCGGAGAGGUAAGCGGAAUUCCUAGUGUAGCGGUGAAAUGCGUAGAUAUUAGGAGGAACACCAGUGGCGAAGGCGGCUUACUGGACGGUGAAUGACGCUGAGGCUCGAAAGCGUGGGGAGCAAACAGGAUU